AUAUUUUGCCAAAAGUUUAACAAAUUGUUUACCAGGUGCUAAAGAACCUUUUUGCUUGUCUAUAGUAAAAUAAGAAACUUGAGUAUACCAACUGACCUCCAAUUAAAAAUGUUGAUUUCAUUGAACAAGGAAAUUUAAAGUAUUGCAAAAGAAUUUGGAGGUACAGUGUAGUAGUUCAUAAUUUUGUAUUAAAUGGUAAAAAACUUCCACUUGAUUUACGUUUCUAACUAAGGGUGUUAUUCUGGAAUAGAAUUAUUAAGUAGGAGUAUAUGUUAUCUUAUUAAGUAGGAGUAUAUGUUAUCUUUCCAGAAUAGAAUCAUUAAGUAGGAGUAUAUGUUAUCUUAUGUUGAAUUUUCAUUAAAAGGAGAUUUGUUCUAUAGUUUAUAAGUGUGAGGUAGCAUAGCUUUAAAAUCAGCGAUACAAAUGUUAUUCUUCACAUGCACAUAUGAUUUGCAAGAUUCCUAAAGAUUUAUUCCAAAAGCAAUGGUUCAGUAUUGAUGAAAGUGUGUUUUUUUAGAGAGCUUUAUUAUUUAAAACACAAUUUGCUCUUGAAACCGAUAUGCUUAGAAUAUCAAGAAGCAAGCCUAAUCUGGAUAACAAAAUUUAGAACAUGUAAUAUAAACAUUCCAAUUAAAACAAUAAAUAGCACAAAUUAUUUUCCAAAAGAGGAUAAGACCUGUACAGAUUGCAAAACUGGUAUAGGCAAUCAAUUCAACUACCUAUUCAAAUGCUCAGAAAUAGACAGAAAUUAUGAUCAAAAUUUGUCUCAAAUUAUUUUUAAAUGAAUCAAUUAUCAAUAAAAAAAAAUAUGUUGUCUGUAUGCUAUAAGAAGUUGAUGUUCAAUCUUGCCUUAUUCAGAAAUGUGUCAUAAUGUUGUUUUAAUUAUAGAUUGUUGCUACAGUUGUUUUGAAAUGAUACAUGUUAUUUUAC
This 930-nucleotide long non-coding RNA is filed under the name Mytilus galloprovincialis (Mediterranean mussel). The record is from RNAcentral. Lineage: Eukaryota; Metazoa; Mollusca; Bivalvia; Mytilida; Mytilidae.